RNAcentral lists this unclassified non-coding RNA (337 nucleotides) under soil metagenome. RNAcentral's name for it is "partial contains 5.8S ribosomal RNA, internal transcribed spacer 2, and large subunit ribosomal RNA". The stretch from base 1 to 120 matches the Rfam family "5.8S ribosomal RNA", at positions 35 to 154 of the family's 154-position model. The record is from RNAcentral.
GAUGAAGAACGUAGCGAAAUGCGAUAAGUAGUGUGAAUUGCAGAAUUCAGUGAAUCAUCGAAUCUUUGAACGCACAUUGCGCCCCUUGGUAUUCCGAGGGGCAUGCCUGUUCGAGCGUCAUUUGUACCUUCAAGCUCUGCUUGGUGUUGGGUGUUUGUCUCGCCUCUGCGUGUAGACUCGCCUCAAAACAAUUGGCAGCCGGCGUAUUGAUUUCGGAGCGCAGUACAUCUCGCGCUUUGCACUCAUAACGACGACGUCCAAAAGUACAUUUUUACACUCUUGACCUCGGAUCAGGUAGGGAUACCCGCUGAACUUAAGCAUAUCAAUAAGCGGAGGA